GAUGAAGAACGCAGCGAAAUGCGAUAAGUAAUGUGAAUUGCAGAACUCAGUGAAUCAUCGAAUCUUUGAACGCACAUUGCGCCCCCUGGUAUUCCGGGGGGCAUGCCUGUCCGAGCGUCAUUACAACCCUCAAGCUCAGCUUGGUGUUGGGCCCCGCCGCCCCGGCGGGCCCUAAAGUCAGUGGCGGUGCCGUCCGGCUCCGAGCGUAGUAAUUCUUCUCGCUCUGGAGGUCCGGUCGUGUGCUCGCCAGCAACCCCCAAUUUUUUUCAGGUUGACCUCGGAUCAGGUAGGGAUACCCGCUGAACUUAAGCAUAUCAAUAAGCGGAGGA
RNAcentral lists this unclassified non-coding RNA (329 nucleotides) under soil metagenome. Its description in RNAcentral is "partial contains 5.8S ribosomal RNA, internal transcribed spacer 2, and large subunit ribosomal RNA". The stretch from base 1 to 120 matches the Rfam family "5.8S ribosomal RNA", at positions 35 to 154 of the family's 154-position model. The record is from RNAcentral.